Molecule: ribosomal RNA, 497 nt
Filed under: uncultured bacterium
Lineage: Bacteria
Description: partial 16S ribosomal RNA
Rfam family: Bacterial small subunit ribosomal RNA
Source: RNAcentral
GAUGAACGCUGGCGGCGUGCCUAAUACAUGCAAGUCGAGCGAACAGACGAGGAGCUUGCUCCUCUGACGUUAGCGGCGGACGGGUGAGUAACACGUGGAUAACCUACCUAUAAGACUGGGAUAACUUCGGGAAACCGGAGCUAAUACCGGAUAAUAUAUUGAACCGCAUGGUUCAAUAGUGAAAGACGGUUUUGCUGUCACUUAUAGAUGGAUCCGCGCCGCAUUAGCUAGUUGGUAAGGUAACGGCUUACCAAGGCAACGAUGCGUAGCCGACCUGAGAGGGGGAUCGGCCACACUGGAACUGAGACACGGUCCAGACUCCUACGGGAGGCAGCAGUAGGGAAUCUUCCGCAGUGGGCGAAAGCCUGACGGAGCAACGCCGCGUGAGUGAUGAAGGUCUUCGGAUCGUAAAACUCUGUUAUUAGGGAAGAACAAAUGUGUAAGUAACUAUGCACGUCUUGACGGUACCUAAUCAGAAAGCCACGGCUAACUACGUG